This 225-nucleotide ribosomal RNA is filed under the name uncultured Acinetobacter sp. RNAcentral describes it as "partial 16S ribosomal RNA". It matches the Rfam family "Bacterial small subunit ribosomal RNA", at positions 568 to 792 of the family's 1533-position model. The record is from RNAcentral. Lineage: Bacteria; Pseudomonadati; Pseudomonadota; Gammaproteobacteria; Moraxellales; Moraxellaceae.
UGCGCAGGCGGGAUUGCAAGUUGGAUGUGAAAUCCCUGAGCUUAACUUAGGAAUUGCAUUCGAUACUGGAAAGCUAGAGUAUGGGAGAGGAUGGUAGAAUUCCAGGUGUAGCGGUGAAAUGCGUAGAGAUCUGGAGGAAUACCGAUGGCGAAGGCAGCCAUCUGGCCUAAUACUGACGCUGAGGUACGAAAGCAUGGGGAGCAAACAGGAUUAGAUACCCCGGUA